This 253-nucleotide ribosomal RNA is filed under the name uncultured bacterium. RNAcentral describes it as "partial 16S ribosomal RNA". It matches the Rfam family "Bacterial small subunit ribosomal RNA", at positions 524 to 776 of the family's 1533-position model. The record is from RNAcentral.
UACGGAGGGUGCAAGCGUUAUCCGGAAUCACUGGGUUUAAAGGGUGCGUAGGCGGCUUGGUAAGUCAGAGGUGAAAGCCUUCCGCUUAACGGAAGAACUGCCUUUGAUACUGCCGAGCUUGAAAGAGGUUGAGGUUAGCGGAACGUGACAUGUAGCGGUGAAAUGCAUAGAUAUGUCACAGAACACCGAUUGCGAAGGCAGCUGACUGGACCUACUUUGACGCUGAGGCACGAAAGCGUGGGGAGCGAACAGG